Spea bombifrons (plains spadefoot toad) is the source of this 355-nucleotide long non-coding RNA. RefSeq lists it as uncharacterized. The record is from RefSeq and is a predicted model, not a curated record. The transcript is spliced from 3 exons. NCBI's taxonomy places the organism in Eukaryota, Metazoa, Chordata, Amphibia, Anura, Pelobatidae.
GCAAAUAAACAGAGGCACAGAGAUACAGAAUCAUACAGGUCCGGUUUAAAAAAUCGCAGUAGAAAGUCCCAUUUGUUUGCUAUCUCAUGGCUGGCUAUGAAGAAGAGAUGUUUUGGAAUUGGCUAAACAAUAAGACUUUUGUGAGAAUGUGAGGGGUGUGUAUAUAGAGUUACUAUGAGAAGAUGGCCUGUCAGUCAGAGAACCAGAAAGGGACAUUCUACAAUGUGAUGAGUGUAAUGGCUUCCAGUUGCAGAUUGGUGACUGCUAGAGGUCAAAAUGGCUGUGUGACCUUGAAAUAAAGGAAAUGUCACUAGUAGCAGGAAAUGAAAGCACAAAAAUAAAUUCAUAUUAAUGA